AGCGUGCACGUCAUCUGGUAAACAAGUUCUGGAGCGACGUGAACGUUAACAGACUGAAUACGACUUUGGUUGCUGCAGCAGCAAGAAGAUGAAGAGGACGGCUGCCACUACAUUGAUGUGAGGGACUACAAAUUUACUCUCCACUCAUGAAAUUGGAGUACACGAUGCUCUGUGCUGUGACUGCAUAUUAAAUAGAGGGUUUGUAUUGUAUGAAUUCAAAAACUUUAAUAUAAAACAACUGUAUUACCAGUUUGGUUUGUGUACAGGUCUAUGGAGUGACAAGGUGAUGUUCCAGUGUCUGUACUGGAUAAGUGCUUGAUGAUUCGGUGGACUGCCGCUAUGUGGUUAAGAGACUGAAAUAAUGUUGUGCUUGUUUCUCUUCUUAUCUGCUUUGCCACAUUUCUUUCACUUCUAAUUACUGAGUCUUUGCUUCGGGUUUGAUACCUGAAGGCUCCACCCUAAAAUGGGUGGAUUAGAUUGGAAUCUCUGAUUAUUUACGCUGAUUAGAUUUGUAAACAGCAUAUUCCAUUAAUAUUAAUUACAUUGCGCUGCAUAUAUGAGAUGAUUUUUGAGCUGAGGCUUCCUAAAAGUUUGAAUGUAAUCGUCCCUGUCCGUGCACGAUCGAAAGUAGACAUACAGGCUCAAAUACAUGCACUCCCACCCGUAUAUGAUGUCCUUUAGCAACCCGAACCUGGACCAGACACUUUUGGUAUGUCCAUGUGGGCAGCUUCUUUCUUGAUGAUUUAAAACUUGCUUCACUGUAAACAGUGAUUCUGGUUUUCCUGCAGGUUCCAGUUCAUGGCAGGCUUGAACAUCAGUGGUCCCUGCAUUGUUGCUGAACAUCCAGAUUGGUUUCCUCCCAUCUGAGCAUCAUGGUUUGAGUCUUAUACCACAGUAGAGUGGUGAAAUAUUUGCAUAACUUGGACUUAUGUAUAUGUUACAAAGUACAAGAAGUGAUGAUCUUUCUUUUUUUCACAUCCAGUCCACUGUCAUUAAAAAUAAACACUACUUUAUUAAAUGAAAAAAA
Long non-coding RNA from Neolamprologus brichardi, 1027 nucleotides. RefSeq lists it as uncharacterized. Lineage: Eukaryota; Metazoa; Chordata; Actinopteri; Cichliformes; Cichlidae. The record is from RefSeq and is a predicted model, not a curated record.